This 301-nucleotide ribosomal RNA is filed under the name uncultured bacterium. Its description in RNAcentral is "partial 16S ribosomal RNA". It matches the Rfam family "Bacterial small subunit ribosomal RNA", at positions 509 to 807 of the family's 1533-position model. The record is from RNAcentral.
CAGCCGCCGCGGUAAUACGUAGGUGGCAAGCGUUGUCCGGAAUUAUUGGGCGUAAAGCGUGCGCAGGCGGUUGUGUAAGACAGGUGUGAAAUCCCCGGGCUUAACCUGGGAACUGCGCUUGUGACUGCACAGCUAGAGUAUGGCAGAGGGGGGUGGAAUUCCACGUGUAGCAGUGAAAUGCGUAGAGAUGUGGAGGAACACCGAUGGCGAAGGCAGCCCCCUGGGCCAAUACUGACGCUCAUGCACGAAAGCGUGGGGAGCAAACAGGAUUAGAUACCCCUGUAGUCCCUGUCUCUUAUAC